Molecule: long non-coding RNA, 435 nt
Organism: Plutella xylostella (diamondback moth)
Lineage: Eukaryota; Metazoa; Arthropoda; Insecta; Lepidoptera; Plutellidae
Source: RefSeq, a predicted model, not a curated record
AAUGGCGAGAGAAUCUUGAAAAAACAUCACCGCUGCAGCCUACGAACACUCUGUGGUGAAAAAAUUGGCAUGUUUUGAGACAACAUUACAGCAAAAUUAUAUUAAAUUUUAUAUUAAAAUAAUAAAUCUAAAAAUAAAGAACAUGGAUAAAAGAAUGAGUUACGAAAUCUCUGAUGAAACAAAUGCAGCAUCGAGAAAACCAAUGGGAUUUUGCUGUGUCUGCUUAGCAACUCCGUGCCAACUCAGAAAAUACUAUUGCCACCAAUUUUGUUCUGACUGCCUUUAUAGAUACAUAAAGGUCCCUGAAAGAAACAGAAGUCAAAAUUAGCAAGCAAGAUGUAAAAAAAAUACGGAGUUCCAUUUUUUUUACAAUGGACUUAAAGUAUUGCAUCUCAGAAAUAAAGUAUCAAUGAUCUAAGUAACUUUAUCUACACA